This 63-nucleotide transfer RNA is filed under the name Geoffmonteithia queenslanda. RNAcentral's name for it is "tRNA-Thr". Lineage: Eukaryota; Metazoa; Arthropoda; Insecta; Coleoptera; Cerambycidae. The record is from RNAcentral.
GUUCUAAUAAUUUAAAAAAAAUACUGGUCUUGUAAAUCAGAAACGAGUUUAACUCUUAGAACU